GCACCCUAUGCCAUCAGAACUUCGAACAAAUUGUCACCGAAUUUGUGGUGCCUGUGAGUCACAGGUUUAAAACUUAGAAAACUUUUUAUCUAGUGGUGCCAACGAUCAAAGCAUCGGGACUAAAAAGAUAUUUCAUGAAAAUGACUGUGAAUUAGACGAACUUCAACUAAAGUGGUGCCGACGGAACAAGCCAUUAGCCACUCCGACCGAAAAAUAUUCAAUCCAACUAAGUGCGGAGCGACGUCGUCAGGGUUAGUGCUUCUUUUAAUCAAUUUUACAGUGUUCAAUAGGGGUGGGCAAAAUACCCAACCCGACCCGAUCCGAAAAAAUUCGGGUUCGGAUCGGUUCGGGUUGUUAUUGAAAUCCGAAUGGGUGAAAAAUUACAAACCCGAUCGGGCUGUGAUCGGGUCGGUAAAACCCGAUUCGAUCUGAAUAUCCGAUCGGGUCACACCAAAAAAAAAAAAAACCUGACUAAAUCUAUAAACACAUCACACAUGCACACACCACACACCACACACAAGGGCGCACACAAAGUCUCAACUAAAAAACAAUUAGCUAAAAAACAAUUGACAAAUAAAAAACAAAAUCAAAUUAUAACCCACGCACACAACCAUAUCUCGCUACUUUCACAGCCCUCAUCUUCACAGCCCUCUCAUCUUCACAGCCCUCUCAUCCUCACACUCAUGACUUCACGUGCACAAACACAUCCUCAUCCUCAUCCUCACGCUCAUGACUUUCACAGCCUGCAAACGCAGAGAAGAGAGCGGAGGAAGCACAGCCAGCGCAUGUAGCCACCUAACCCGCGACCGGAUCUACUGCUCCGCAACAUCCGUAGCUACCAGAUCUGCUGUUACCGGAUAUCUACCAAAUCUGCUGUUGCCGGAUAUCUACCGGAUCUGCUGCUACUAGAUCCGAUGCGCUGCUAUCGGGUCAGAUGCUGCUGGAUCUGCUGUUGCAGCCUCCACCAUCACCAGGAUCUGCUGUUGCAGCCUCCACCAUCACCAAGCUCCACCGCGAACUGGCAAUCUGAAUUCUUUUUUUUUUCUUGCUGUUUUGAUGGUAUAUAAUACUAUAUUAUAUAUUAUCUGUUAAUCGCUAAAUAUAUGUAUUGUUAAAUGUUAAUAAUAAAAUGAGGGAAAUUCUUGUAUGGAAAAUUUUGGAGCUUAAUUUAUUAAGUCCGUGGAAGCUUAAAUUAUAAGUAUGAAUUGAUUUUUUUUUUGUUUUGUUUUUAGUGAAUAGAUUAAGCACUAAAAUUAAAUAUUUUACUUUGAUCUGUGUAGUAGCUUCACUCGAUCCGAAUUAGCCCGAAUUUAAUCCGAUUAUUUGACCCGAUCCGAUCUGAUCCAAAUAUGUUCGGAUCGGGUCGGAUCGGGUUAUAACUUCGGGUUAAGUUAGGAUGAAUUCUUUUCUAACCCGAUCAACUCGAAAAUCCGAUCGGGUUGAUCCGAACUCGACCCGAACCCAAAAAUGUCCACCCCUAGUGUUCAAUCAUAAUAAUAUGCAUCCAAAAAAAAAAUCAUAAUUUUUUUGGGCAUAAUAACCAAGAAAUGAUUAUAAAAUUAAAAAAUAAAAAUAAAAAAAGUGAAAAAUAGGCCUCGCUGCUGGUGUAUGUGAUUGUAACCGUUCGAAUUUAU
RNAcentral lists this long non-coding RNA (1634 nucleotides) under Citrus sinensis (sweet orange). RNAcentral's name for it is "long non-coding RNA (CSIN_LNC002370)". The record is from RNAcentral. Lineage: Eukaryota; Viridiplantae; Streptophyta; Magnoliopsida; Sapindales; Rutaceae.